AUUUUGAAGAUUCCAGUUUCCAUUUUACAUGGACUUCAGCACUUUUACUUGAUUGUUUCUAGAUCAAAUAAAAUAGGUGAAAGGUUUUGGUUCUUUGCUCCAUUGUUUAACAUCUCUAGGUAUGCCUCCAGGGACUAGAGUGAAGACAAAGGAGAGAAGGUGAGGAUGGAAUCAUUAAAAAGAAAGGAGAGAUGAAGAAAAACUACAGUGGCUACCGGGUAACAUGAAUCUCAAGCACUGUCCCCAACGUCCAACCAAAAUGCUUCUUUGGGGAGGAAUCUUAAAUCCCGAAGUCCUUUUAUUUCCUAAUAUGAUUUUGGUCUUGUGAGAAACUGGACACGAAAACCUAAUGCUUCCACAGUUACAGUCUUGAAAAGUAAUGGGAAAAAGUAAGUGAACAGAGAAUUGAUAAUGAGCUAACCACCGUUGAAGUUCUGCGAUCCAAAAGCUGGGAAACACCUGAAGAGUGGCCGAGAGUCCGCUGGGAGAGAGGCGGGGGCCGGAGAGCGCGAGGAAAGCCCCCGGAGCCCCCUGCUCCGCCUGCACCCCCUCCCCGCGGGAUUCCGGCGCUCAGACCCCGGGGGGCUGAACGUCUCUCCCGCAGGUGGGACCUACCCCGGCUGCAGCGCAGAGCUGGCGCCUGUCCGCGCGCUCCGGGGCCCCCCGGCCCUGCACGGGGUGUUCCUUCCUACCCAAUAAUCCAAGUUGACUUUCCCUCUUUGCGCUUCGAGGGGCUGGAGAAGCAGCCGCGGGCGAGCGAAGGCGGACUGGAGCGCUCCCAUCUUCCUCCCCCCUCCUCCAACCCUGGCACUGAGAGGGGGGGGAAAAGUCAUCUGCUGUAGUGCGCGCACCAUCAGGAUCCUUUCCCACUCCGUCCUCCCGACUCCGGCCACCUCGCAGGAAAAUAAUAGCUUCGGCCACACUGGCUUUCCAGUUCUGCUUUCCGGAUGACUGCGUUUCUUUGCUCCUCUCUCCCGUCGGAGACCAUCUGAAACUGCCCCCAAGUUGCGUUCCCAGGAUCCCCCCACCCCCCGGAUUCGACUCGGGGACUAAAGAGCAAACUCACUUCGGCGUCCCUCGCUUUCAAGAGAAGCGUCACUCAGUAAUAGAACACUUCUGGAACUAUUUCCCACUAUGAAGAAUAUUAUUUUAAAAAAGAAAAGAAACCACCUCAAGAACCGUUUAACAACGCUAGUGAAAUUCAGAAGCCAACUAUUCACACCCAGUCGCAGGAUUCUAUUUGUUCAGCAUUUUGCCCAGUUUUGCUGAAAGAAAGAAAUUUCGAUUUCUUUACUCUGCUUUGCGAAGACGUGACCAGCCCCAAAUAUCCUUAGCUGGACUCUUCUAGCACUCUUUUAACUUAAAUAAAUUCAAGAGGCACUU
Molecule: long non-coding RNA, 1383 nt
Organism: Canis lupus familiaris (dog)
Lineage: Eukaryota; Metazoa; Chordata; Mammalia; Carnivora; Canidae
Exons: 2
Source: RefSeq, a predicted model, not a curated record